AUAAAUAAAAAAUAAAAAAGGAGAAAAAUGAAAAGAAAGCGCAGUCACACGGAGCGGUUCUCGAGCUUUCUCCCUGUCGGCUCUCAGCGCCGCCGCCAUGGAGGACGACGACGACUGCCCUCCCCUCGCCGUCGAGCUACCGCCGCAAGUGCCAUCUCCUCCGGCGCCAGCUCCUCCGGAUGCGUCGCCAGUUGGCGUUACCGUCAUCACCGGCUACCUCGGGGCCGGCAAGUCCACGUUAGUCAACUACAUUUUGAAUGAACAACAUGGAAAGAGAAUCGCCGUGAUACUAAACGAGUUUGGAGAAGAAAUUGGGGUUGAAAGGGCGAUGAUCAACGAGGGUCAAGGUGGUGCACUUGUUGAGGAAUGGGUGGAGCUGGCAAAUGGAUGUGUCUGUUGCUCUGUAAAACACAGCCUGGUUCAAGCACUUGAGCAGCUUGUGCUGAGAAAGGAUAGAAUGGAUCAUAUAUUACUUGAGACAACAGGUUUGGCUGAUCCUGCACCACUUGUCUCUGUUCUUUGGCUAGAUGACCAAUUGGAAUCAUCAAUUAGACUGGAUUCUAUUAUUACGGUCAUUGAUGCAAAAAAUUUCAGGGUUCAGAUUGAUGAGCACAAAAACGCUUCCUCAUUCCCUGAAGCAUUUCAUCAAAUUGCAUUUGCGGAUGUUGUGAUAUUGAACAAAAUUGACCUAGUGAAGGACAGCGUUGAGGAUUUGGAAAAACAUAUUCAUGAUGUGAAUGCUCUGGUUACAGUGGUGCGGUCUGUCCGGUGCCAAGUUGACUUGAAUGAAGUAUUUAACAGGCAAGCAUAUGGUGCCAAGAAUUCUUCUCAUCUGCAAGAACUGCUGGACUAUAGUAAAUCAAUACCACCUAACCUCCGUCAUGAUAACAGUAUUUCCACCUUGUGCAUCUAUGAACAGGAUCCAGUUAACUUGGCUAAGGUGGAAUCGUGGCUCGAAGAUCUUCUUUGGGAAAAGAAAUCUACUAUGGAUAUAUAUCGUUGUAAAGGGAUUUUACAUAUCCAUGACUCAGAUCAAGUUCAUACAUUACAGGCAGUGAGGGAAGUCUACGAAGUUAUGCCGGCUCGAAAAUGGUCCGAGACAGAGUCUCGCAUGAACAAGAUAGUUGUCAUAGGCCGCAAUUUGGAUAUCAAUGCUCUCCAAGAUUCAUUUUGUGGUUGCAAGGGCUGACAAUGAUUAUCUUGUUUCUCUUGCACAAUGUUAGUUGUCCAUUUUUCUACGAUGCUUCACUUCUAGCGAUGCUCCAACACUGCAGCACCCGAUGCUUGCUAAAAUUUUCUGGCUUCGGUGCAAGAACAAGCAUCGAUGCUUGCCUAUUACAAUAUACUAUAUACGUUUGGAGUGAAGGAGAGAAGAGAUGAGUUUGGAAUUUUUAAUUCUAUUUUAGGUUCCAGGUGUAGGGAGAGAGUGAUGACGCACACUGCGACAUUCCAAGCGAAACAGGCAUCACUUGUGAUAUGAUGUUUGAAGCAUCACUAGUAAAGCUACACAUUGUGGAAGGCCUAAGUAUCUACACCAGUUUAACUUGCCUCUACACACAGGUACCUCUGUGUAAUGCUGAACUGAAUUUGCCCAUAUGCGUCUAAACUCACCAGUUUAGGUGCUCCAUGUGUAUAUUCGCCAGCGGAGAAUCUUCAUAGGGGAAACAACACAUUAUUUCAAGAUUAAGAGGACUGAACUGGUCUUAUUGCUGUAAUACCAUGUUAGUGCUUCUCCAACGCACCAUGGUAGAGUUUUUCUGCUUAGCUUCUUUCUGCUCAAUUGAGAAAGCAAACUGGUACUUUGUGGAUGCGGCAUGUAUCCUAUUAUGAGAUGCACUUUGUGGAAGGAGUUAAACUCAAGGUGUAUGCAGGCUGAUCGAAGAGACGAAGACACUUUGAAAGGACAGUGGCGUAAAUUUUGCAUGAGGUAGGAACUGGGAUACAUUGGGUUAUUUUGCUUCGUGAAUUUUGGCCUCUUUUGGGUCUUGACUGGGAUCUGUAUACUUCCAAACUUCACGGCAGAGGUAGCGUAGCUAAGAUAAACUA
This is an RNA transcript of Panicum virgatum (switchgrass), 2046 nucleotides long. It is a transcript of the gene named COBW domain-containing protein 1-like, with no coding region annotated. NCBI's taxonomy places the organism in Eukaryota, Viridiplantae, Streptophyta, Magnoliopsida, Poales, Poaceae. The transcript has 10 exons. The record is from RefSeq and is a predicted model, not a curated record.